Molecule: ribosomal RNA, 274 nt
Filed under: Sandokan tiomanensis
Lineage: Eukaryota; Metazoa; Arthropoda; Arachnida; Opiliones; Sandokanidae
Description: partial 12S ribosomal RNA
Source: RNAcentral
GGCGGUAAAUUUAUUUUUUUAGAGGAAUUUGCUUAAUAAUUGACUUUACACAUUAUAUUUAACUUUAUUGAGUUUGUUUAUCUCCGUUAUUAGAAUAAUUAGUUUGAUUUAAUUUGUUAAUAAUAUUUCAGGUCAAGAUGCAGCUUAAUAAAGGUAGGGUGAGUUACAUUUUAGGAUUAGUGGAUUAAAAAAGUUGGAUUUAUUAUGAAAGUGGAUUUAGAGGUAAUUUUAUUUAGGGUUGUAAAGUGAAUAUUAAUUAAUUUAUGUACACAUC